This 497-nucleotide ribosomal RNA is filed under the name uncultured bacterium. RNAcentral describes it as "partial 16S ribosomal RNA". It matches the Rfam family "Bacterial small subunit ribosomal RNA", at positions 28 to 507 of the family's 1533-position model. The record is from RNAcentral.
GAUGAACGCUGGCGGCGUGCCUAAUACAUGCAAGUCGAGCGAACGGACGAGAAGCUUGCUUCUCUGAUGUUAGCGGCGGACGGGUGAGUAACACGUGGAUAACCUACCUAUAAGACUGGGAUAACUUCGGGAAACCGGAGCUAAUACCGGAUAAUAUUUUGAGCCGCAUGGUUCAAAAGUGAAAGACGGUUUUGCUGUCACUUAUAGAUGGAUCCGCGCUGCAUUAGCUAGUUGGUAAGGUAGCGGCUUACCAAGGCAACGAUGCAUAGCCGACCUGAGAGGGUGAUCGGCCACACUGGAACUGAGACACGGUCCAGACUCCUACGGGAGGCAGCAGUAGGGAAUCUUCCGCAAUGGGCGAAAGCCUGACGGAGCAACGCCGCGUGAGUGAUGAAGGUCUUCGGAUCGUAAAACUCUGUUAUUAGGGAAGAACAUAUGUGUAAGUAACUAUGCACAUCUUGACGGUACCUAAUCAGAAAGCCACGGCUAACUACGUG